This 253-nucleotide ribosomal RNA is filed under the name uncultured bacterium. RNAcentral's name for it is "partial 16S ribosomal RNA". It matches the Rfam family "Bacterial small subunit ribosomal RNA", at positions 524 to 776 of the family's 1533-position model. The record is from RNAcentral.
UACAGAGGGUGCGAGCGUUAAUCGGAAUUACUGGGCGUAAAGCGUGCGUAGGCGGUUAUUUAAGUCGGAUGUGAAAGCCCCGGGCUCAACCUGGGAAUUGCAUUCGAGACUGAAUAGCUAGGGUGCGGUAGAGGGAAGCGGAAUUUCCGGUGUAGCGGUGAAAUGCGUAGAUAUCGGAAGGAACAUCAGUGGCGAAAGCGGCUUCCUGGGCCAGCACCGACGUUCAGGCACGAAAGCGUGGGGAGCAAACAGG